This 722-nucleotide ribosomal RNA is filed under the name Bacillus subtilis. RNAcentral describes it as "bacterial SSU rRNA". It matches the Rfam family "Bacterial small subunit ribosomal RNA", at positions 51 to 755 of the family's 1533-position model. The record is from RNAcentral. Lineage: Bacteria; Bacillati; Bacillota; Bacilli; Caryophanales; Bacillaceae.
AUACAUGCAAGUCGAGCGGACAGAUGGGAGCUUGCUCCCUGAUGUUAGCGGCGGACGGGUGAGUAACACGUGGGUAACCUGCCUGUAAGACUGGGAUAACUCCGGGAAACCGGGGCUAAUACCGGAUGGUUGUUUGAACCGCAUGGUUCAAACAUAAAAGGUGGCUUCGGCUACCACUUACAGAUGGACCCGCGGCGCAUUAGCUAGUUGGUGAGGUAACGGCUCACCAAGGCAACGAUGCGUAGCCGACCUGAGAGGGUGAUCGGCCACACUGGGACUGAGACACGGCCCAGACUCCUACGGGAGGCAGCAGUAGGGAAUCUUCCGCAAUGGACGAAAGUCUGACGGAGCAACGCCGCGUGAGUGAUGAAGGUUUUCGGAUCGUAAAGCUCUGUUGUUAGGGAAGAACAAGUACCGUUCGAAUAGGGCGGUACCUUGACGGUACCUAACCAGAAAGCCACGGCUAACUACGUGCCAGCAGCCGCGGUAAUACGUAGGUGGCAAGCGUUGUCCGGAAUUAUUGGGCGUAAAGGGCUCGCAGGCGGUUUCUUAAGUCUGAUGUGAAAGCCCCCGGCUCAACCGGGGAGGGUCAUUGGAAACUGGGGAACUUGAGUGCAGAAGAGGAGAGUGGAAUUCCACGUGUAGCGGUGAAAUGCGUAGAGAUGUGGAGGAACACCAGUGGCGAAGGCGACUCUCUGGUCUGUAACUGACGCUGAGGAGCG